RNAcentral lists this ribosomal RNA (643 nucleotides) under uncultured bacterium. RNAcentral describes it as "bacterial SSU rRNA". It matches the Rfam family "Bacterial small subunit ribosomal RNA", at positions 8 to 694 of the family's 1533-position model. The record is from RNAcentral.
AGAGUUUGAUCCUGGCUCAGGACGAACGCUGGCGGUGUGCUUCACACAUGCAAGUCGAACGAGGUAGCAAUACCUAGUGGCGGACGGGUGAGUAACGCGUGGGAAUCUGCCCUUGGGUAGGGGAUAGCAGGCCGAAAGUCCUAUUAAUACCGUAUAUGCCGUGAGGUAAAAGGAGUAAUCCGCCCGAGGAUGAGCCUGCGUCCGAUUAGCUAGUUGGUGGGGUAAAAGCCUACCAAGGCUACGAUCGGUAGCUGGUCUGAGAGGAUGAUCAGCCACAAUGGGACUGAGACACGGCCCAUACUCCUACGGGAGGCAGCAGUGGGGAAUUUUACGCAAUGGGGGAAACCCUGACGUAGCGACACCGCGUGAGCGAAGAAGCCUUUUGGGGUGUAAAGCUCUGUCAGCAGGAACGAAUAAAUGACGGUACCUGCAGAGGAAGCAUCGGCUAACUACGUGCCAGCAGCCGCGGUAAGACGUAGGAUGCGAGCGUUGUCCGGAUUCAUUGGGCGUAAAGAGUUCGUAGGCGGUUUGUUAAGUCUGAUGUUAGAGAUCAGGGCCCAACCCUGGGAGUGCAUUGGAUACUGGCAGACUUGAGUACAGUAGAGGCGAGUGGAAUUCCCAGUGUAGCGGUGAAAUGCGUAGA